Long non-coding RNA from Asterias rubens (European starfish), 952 nucleotides. RefSeq lists it as uncharacterized. The transcript is spliced from 2 exons. Lineage: Eukaryota; Metazoa; Echinodermata; Asteroidea; Forcipulatida; Asteriidae. The record is from RefSeq and is a predicted model, not a curated record.
GUUACCAAGUAGGGUUUUAUGCUAAUAAUUACUAUGAGUAAUCACCAAUAGUGUCCACUGCCUUUAACAUCUGUUAGGUCAAACUUAAUACAAACGAGAUUUCGUUCUUAAACAGGGUGACAUGUUAAAGGUCAGUGCACUGAGGUAGAAAAUGCAACAAGAUUGUUUGAAACCCAUCUAUGCACAAAUGUUCUUUCCAAUUCGGGUUAUUUUUUCAUAUUUGCCUCUAAUUUUGUAUCCAAAUUGGUUUCUUUACUAUGUAUGUGUAGAAAAUCUGUUAUAGAAGUGUCUGAUGCGAUUUUAGGAUAUUAUUCUCCAAAGCUUACUACCCUUGGAAUAUUCAGGGCUGAGUUUCAUAAAUCUCUUAGCAAAUAUCUUAAUUAAGCAAAAUAUGAGUGAGGCACUUGUCGCAACUGUGUUAACUUUAUGGAAUUUUGGCUGGUAACCUGUUUAUACUAAGCAAGAGUUGUCAGUGCUAAGCCAAUGUGUUUUGUGCUUAAUACUUGUUUUCAAUGAGUUGUUAAGCUGAAAAUACUGCUCAGCGAAUUUCUUUUCUAAGCAAAAGAUGAGUGAAGCAGCAGGUUAUCUGUGUCUGCUUAGCAAGGUUUAUUUGAGCUAAGCAGAUUUUUGUGCUUACAGGGUAGAUACAAUUUGGCCCAGGUUGGGGUUGGAGUGGGAUGGGAAACCUGUAUGUGCACUUGGAUGAGCUUAUCUCAGGCAUGCAACUUAAAAAGGUGAUCAGAUGAUUUCCUUUGUAUUAAAAAAAAAAAAAAAAACAGCGCUGUGAGAAACUGAAAACUAGUAUCAAAUAUGGAUCAACGGUUUGAUAACAAUGAAUUAAGUUAUUUACCAAUUGAAUUAAUUCUGCAACGCUCCAAAUUUUUGCAGUACUUAAAAAAACAAAACUGCCCGACGUCAAAAAAAAAAAGAGUUUGAUUUGAACGGAAAAAAA